CAGGACGAACGCUGGCGGCGUGCUUAACACAUGCAAGUCGAACGAUGAACCUCCUUCGGGAGGGGAUUAGUGGCGAACGGGGUGAGUAACACGUGGGCAAUCUGCCCUGCACUCUGGGACAAGCCCUGGAAACGGGGUCUAAUACCGGAUACGACACGGGACCGCAUGGUCUCCGUGUGGAAAGCUCCGGCGGUGCAGGAUGAGCCCGCGGCCUAUCAGCUUGUUGGUGGGGUGAUGGCCUACCAAGGCGACGACGGGUAGCCGGCCUGAGAGGGCGACCGGCCACACUGGGACUGAGACACGGCCCAGACUCCUACGGGAGGCAGCAGUGGGGAAUAUUGCACAAUGGGCGCAAGCCUGAUGCAGCGACGCCGCGUGAGGGAUGACGGCCUUCGGGUUGUAAACCUCUUUCAGCAGGGAAGAAGCGCAAGUGACGGUACCUGCAGAAGAAGCGCCGGCUAACUACGUGCCAGCAGCCGCGGUAAUACGUAGGGCGCAAGCGUUGUCCGGAAUUAUUGGGCGUAAAGAGCUCGUAGGCGGCUUGUCGCGUCGGAUGUGAAAGCCCGGGGCUUAACCCCGGGUCUGCAUUCGAUACGGGCAGGCUAGAGUUCGGUAGGGGAGAUCGGAAUUCCUGGUGUAGCGGUGAAAUGCGCAGAUAUCAGGAGGAACACCGGUGGCGAAGGCGGAUCUCUGGGCCGAUACUGACGCUGAGGAGCGAAAGCGUGGGGAGCGAACAGGAUUAGAUAC
RNAcentral lists this ribosomal RNA (747 nucleotides) under Streptomyces sp. MST-115088. RNAcentral describes it as "bacterial SSU rRNA". It matches the Rfam family "Bacterial small subunit ribosomal RNA", at positions 25 to 785 of the family's 1533-position model. The record is from RNAcentral. Lineage: Bacteria; Bacillati; Actinomycetota; Actinomycetes; Kitasatosporales; Streptomycetaceae.